AUUAAGUUAGUGGACAAAGCAUUAUUGUCCACUUUAAUGCCAUUCACCAUUUCCCGAUCAGAUUCUCCAAACUCCUCUCUCCCAUCAACCAAUUCAUUCAAAAAGAGUUUAUCCCCACGAUUUCUCUCUCCACUUCCAAUGAUUAUUUUCUUCUCUUCACUUUCUCUAGCCAACUCACCUUCAUUCUUCCAUUUUUUCCUUUCUUUUGGUUCACCAAAAAAACGUCUUAAAAAUGAGACAUGAAACACUGGGUGGAUGCAAGCCGAAGGUGGAAGUUCUAGUUCAUAAGCAACCAGUCAUACUUGCUUAACAUCCUUGUACGGUCAGUAAAAACACUAUGACAGUUUCUAAGACCGGCGGCGUGCCAGUGUUUGUUGCUGAUAAGCUUGGAGGCAUAGGAGAACCCAAUCUCCAACUUCAAAGGUAACAUCUUUUCUACUCGAAUUGGCUUGUGCUUUCAUACGUUGUUGUGCAUGAAGAAGGUGUUGUUUGAGUGUCACUAACAUCUCGGUUCUUGUCUGUAGGAUAUCACGGAUCUGAGUGUUAUUGGUUGAUCCCGGAAGGUAGUCACGUAGUGUCGGAGGUGUUCUACCGUAUAGUGCUUCAAAUGGUGAAAAUUGGAGAGUUGAGUGGCGGUUUGUAUUAUACCAAUACUCAGCCAAAGGAAGGUGAGAAAACCAGCGGUUCGGUUGAGUCCCUGUGAAACAUCGAAGGUAUGUUUGGAGUCUGCGGUUCACAACUUCGGUUUAACUGUCCGACUGUGGGUGAUAGGCAGUGUUGUAGCAUAAUGAAGUGCCUAGAAGCUUAAAGAGCUCCUUCUAGAACCCGCUGAGGAACAAGGGAUCACGGUCCGAGAUUAUGCUUUUUGGAACACCAUGGAGCCUGCAAAUAUAAUUUAGAAAACGCCUUGCUAGGGUGUCAUCCGUGAACCGAGUUGGUAGCACCGUGACAAGAGGCAGUAAGUCAAGCCAAGGUUGAUUUCCACCCAGAAUGACCAGCAAAUGGUGACUCAUGGAACUCUUUCAACAAAGUUACUCUCAGAUCCAGAGAAUCAGGUAUAAAAAUUCGGUUUUGAAAAAAUACGAGUCCUUGUGAUAUAUGAAACUUUGAACUACAUUUUGCCUCUGAUUCUAAUUUAUUGAGAAAUUGUUGACCACAUGAGGUACUGUAAUAAGCGCGGAUCUGUUCCAGAAUUGUUGGGAAUGAAGAGGACAUGGAGUAACAUGUGGCAGACUCCUCACUAUGGCAUCUGGAUAAGUCAUCAGCGACACAAUUAGAGGUACCAGUCCUUAUUUAAUUUCAUAGUCAAAACCUAUUAGUUUUGUUGCCCACUUUUUCUAUUCCGGUGUGUAGAAACCUUGAGUCAUUAAAUGUUUCAAGCUUUGUUGAUCUAUGUAGAUUUGCAAUUUUCGACCAAUGAGUUACUAAUGCCAUUUCUUUAUAGAUUUUGUCCACUUCAAACAUCUCGCGGACAUAUGCCGAAGAGUGUUGCAUCUGAGGUGUCAAUUUUUUGCUAAAGAAGGCUACCGAAUGACCGUCUUGUGAGAGGAUAUCACCAAUGGCGACGGCUGAGGCGUCUAUUUCCACAAAAAAUGGCUUGGAGAAGUUGGGUAGUUGUAGGACAGGGGUGGUAGACAUAGUUGUUUUUAAUUCAUUAAAGGUGACUUGUGCCUUAUAGUCCAUGUAUAUGUCUGUAAUUUUAACAAAUCGGUGAGGGGAGCAGCGAGUGUGGCGUAGUGCUUUACAAACUUCCGAUAGAAACUAGUGAGGCCCAAAAAUCCCUUGAGUUUUGUGAGGGAACAUGGCUUAGGCCAUUCAAUCAUUGCAUGUAUUUUAUCAGGGUUUGGGGUAACCACCCUUGCUAAAGUGAUAUGAACUAAGUAACCAAC
Molecule: long non-coding RNA, 1889 nt
Filed under: Lupinus angustifolius (narrow-leaved blue lupine)
Lineage: Eukaryota; Viridiplantae; Streptophyta; Magnoliopsida; Fabales; Fabaceae
Description: long non-coding RNA (LANG_LNC000074)
Source: RNAcentral